UCAUCCGUAGUAUAGUGGUCAGUAUGUGAGCUUGUCAUCAUCUUCUCCUUGGAGAGGAAGCGAUUCGCUCGAGACCCGGGUUCAAUUCCCGGCGGGAGAG
Molecule: non-coding RNA, 100 nt
Organism: Schizothecium vesticola
Lineage: Eukaryota; Fungi; Ascomycota; Sordariomycetes; Sordariales; Schizotheciaceae
Source: the annotation of a GenBank genome assembly